AGAGAUUGAUAGCCCAAAUUAAAGAGUUAAACCUAGAGAUAGUAAUACCCGACUUAAGCCAAUUUUACUUGUAUUGUUUGAACACCCAAUUAGGCUUGAGAAAGCCAAUUAGGAAAAAGUCACUCAAACUACCGAGAGGUAUAGAGUGAGUAAUUAUGUGUAAUGGUUAUAUUACGACCCCUAAUAUAACAAGCUUGUCCUUAAUUUUAGAUCUCAUUAGAUACUCGCCUAGGUGUAAGUCACUUCCCUAGUGCCUUUUAUCACUUGAGAAAACCCUUACAAAAAAAUAUUGUACUUAGAUUCUUUUCAGCAUUUAUUAGAAUUAAAUUAGAAUAGUAACAAAUCCCAAGAUGUUUAGAAGUGCAAUUAAGAACAACACACGUAGCUAGAUUGGAUAGAAACCCAAUUCCAAACCAAUAUUAACUCUCUGUGGAUUCGAUCUCGACCUUUCGGGUAAACGCUGCAUCGACCACUCCUCGCCAUUAUAUUAUGGUGUAGGGUUGGAGACGAUCACUUUUUGGCAUCAUUGCCGGGGAGUUAAAUAGUUUUUGACUAUCUAUCUAACUAGUUGUAUGCUUUAUUUUUCUUUCUUUCUGUUUUACUAACUUGUAUGAGUUAAUCGAUUCAGGUACAAAACGACAAACAAUGAUCUUAUCGGAAAUGUUAUCCCGGAGGAGGAGAUAGAUGAUAAUGGCGACGAUGAGGUGCCUAUAGUACCUCAAGCUCAAAGAAGAGGUCGGCAGGCCAAUGAAAACAUUCCAGACCCUCCCCCAGCUCCUCCAUGAGUGGCUCCUCGAGUACUUCCAAAUGAAGGGUACGCAAGUGCAAUUGUCCCACCUUGGAUCUGGGCGGGCAAUUUCCACAUUACAAAUGUCAUGCUGGCCUUAUUGGAGCAAAGAGGGUACUUCACAUGUGUUCCCCAUCAGAAUGCAUAUAAACAUCUCAAGGAAUUUUUGGAUACCUGCUGGGUUAGCAAGAAAACAAAUGUGUCGGAGGAUGCAUUGAGAUUGAGAUUAUUCCCUUUCUCACUUAGAGGGAAAGCUUUGAACUGGCUCAAAAGACUCCCCAACCAUUCCAUCACUACGUGGGAUGAGUUGGCCGACAAGUUUAUAGCCAAGUUUUUCUUACUAGGACAUAUGGCUGCAUUAAGGGAUGAUAUCUUAGCAUUUAAACAGGAACCAAAUGAACCCCUUCAUGAAAUCUGGGAUAUAAUAGAACUAUGGUCAAGGAAUGCCCCAACAAUGAUAUGACUGAAGCAAUGAUCCAACAAACAUUUUUAUCGGGGUAUAAACACGACCAAUCAAUGUGUGGUAAAACAGUUAGCAGGGGUAAUUUUAUGAAGCUCUCUUAUGCUGAGGGCUGCGAGAUUCUUNNNNNNNNNNNNNNNNNNNNNNNNNNNNNNNNNNNNNNNNNNNNNNNNNNNNNNNNNNUUCAGGGACCAAAGCAAGUAAACGCAAUGGAAGGAGUUAAUCUAUUGGUGAACAAGAGAAGAACGUCUGGUCAACAAAUGCAAAGCAAUCAAGAUCAGUUUGAUCAAGGUGGUAGUGGUUACAACCAGGAUGAUGGGUAUUGUGAGUAAAGUGAAGAGGUGUUAUAUGCCAACAACUAUCAAGGACAACGAGGUAAUGCUCUAAAUCAACAAUGUAGAUCGCAAGGGAAUAAUCAGAAUUGGGGCAACCAAGGCCAAGAAAAUUGGAACAAUAACAACAACACCUCCAACAAUUGGGGGAACAACAAUCAAAACUGGGGAAACAACAACAAUUAGAGUGGCAACAACAAUUAAGAAGGUUGGAAUAAUGGUAAUCAAGGAAAUCGAGGGUCGGGUUUUCAAAGGCCUCCAAUGUUUCAACAACCAAACAAUCCACCUCCAUUUCCGUCCCAAGGACCUAGCUCAUAAAACAAUGAGAUGGAAAGGAUUGAGUCGAUGUUUGAGCAAAUGAUGAAAAAGAACGUCGACUCUGAUGCCCAAUUGGCAUCCUAUAAUACUUCUAUUCACAAUCUAGAGGUCCAACUUGGCCAGAUUUUGCAAUCUUUGAACACUCGUCCUAAGGGGGCACUACCUAGUGACACGAUAGUAAACCUGAAGGGUGGGAACAAUACCGUCCAUGCAAUGGCGGUGACCACUAGGAGCGGUAGAGGAGGUGAAGCAAGUACCUCCAAGAAAAAGGGAGUUGCGAGUGAUGAGGUUGAAGUACAAAAUGAUGAUGAUCCUAUAGUUGUUGAGAAAAUGAGGGAAGAGAAGUUGGAUGGUGAGGUGAGAAUUGAUAUUCAGGAUAUUGAGGGGGAGACUCAAAAUGACGUGAACCCAUCUAUGGAACACGUGAUAGACAUGUUGAUACCCAAUUUUUUCCUCAUAUAUUUUUAACAUGCAUAUAUUUUCAAAAUAGUGCACAUGCAUUUACAAACAUGCACAAGUAUUCCUAUAAUUUUUCUAUAAUUUUAAAGGCUUUGAACCAAUUUAUUUCUGCAUUUUUACUAUACAAAUAUCCAAUAAUUAUCCCUCGUAUUAUUUUUAUGAUGAUUUAAUCAUCCAAAUUCAUUAUUUAUGUCCAAACAAUGCUUAAAUAUUUUAAUUGUAUUUUUUAUAAUUAUAUUUGCAUUUUUAAGGCUAGAAUUGCAUAUUUUGCAAUAAUAGCCCAUACAUAUGCAUAAUUAUAUUAUCUAUACCGAAAAUGACUGUUUAUAUUUUUAUAAUAUUAACUAUUUUGAAUCAUUUUCAUGCAUAAAUCAAAUUUUUAUCAUCUAUUAAUUAUUUUUAUAAAUUAUUUUAGUAAUUUGAAUGGGUAUUUAAAACAUAGCCCCUUUUCUCAAUUAAUUUUCGGACCUACCUUAGCCCAAUACCCUAACCUAACCCAAACCCAAUAACCCAAUUAUUAUAAUCCGCCCCAACCCUGGACUUAGAUCCUGUCCGUUGAUCUCAGAAGAUCAACGAUCCAGGACGAAUUUUCCUUUUUAAUAACACUAAACACCCCUAACCCUAAUCAUUUCUUCCGCCCCGCCACCCUUGAAUCCCUUCUCCUCUCUUCUCUCUCAAACUCUCUCCUAACCCUAGCCUGCCGUCACCAGAAAGCCUUCAAUCCAUGGGGUUUCCCAUCGAUCUUAAGCCCUAUCCGGCCUCCUACCUCCACUGGUUGUUUGAUUUAUUUGAUAUUUCUCUUUAAAAAACCUUAUAUUUUUCUUGUUAUUAAUCAAUUUUAGUUUUUCCCUUAAAACUAGGGUUUCAUCUCUUUGCGUUUCUGCAAAAAUUCUAAAUUUUGUAAGUGUGGUUCUCUUUACUUAUUCGACUGAUUUUCAUAUCUAUGUUCUAAUCCCUAGGGUUUCUAAUCGUUUAACUAUUUGUUCUGAUAUUUGCCCGUUAUUCUUUGGCCCUGUCAAUUAACAGAGAUUAACUGAUUUUAUUUGCCUAAUUAGGGUUCAAAAUUAUAUUUUUCUGUUGAAAUUGGUAUACUCUAUUAUUUUACUUAUUUUUCCUUAUUUGUGACUCAUAAUUGGUACUACUUGCCUUAAUUAGGUUAUUAGCCUGAUUUCUAGGAUUUGCUUGUUUUAACCGACCCCUAGAUGGUCUAUGAUUUAUGUGUUUACCUUAUUAAACUUCAAUCUUCCCUGUUAAUCGAUCCUCCCUAAUCUAAGUGAUAUGUCCCUGAUUAAAUGAUUUGCAUACCUUAUUUGUGAACGCUUAAUUUCAUUCACCUUAUUUAUUCUACUCUGCUGAAUGCUAUAUAACCCCACCAUUCUGAUUUUUUUUAACACACGAACACAAAGGGAAGAUAUAAAAGACACCUACACACAUAAUCUCUUACUCUUACUCACACACUCACAACUGUAGUUCUUUCUGUUAGUUCUACUUGCUAUUCUGUCUAGCUAGUUGAAAGCCAAGGCUAGACCCUUGGAUUUCAUUCAUCUUCACCUUCAUGGUUUCUAUCUCCUUAACUGGUUUGCCUCAAUUUCUAUUAUCAUUCUAUAUCCUAUGUAGUUAAACAUCAGCAUGCUUCUAUUUGCCCCUAUGUUUUCCUUUUUAUUGCUCUCUUAACCAGCAUGACUUAUUUCCUGUUAACUUGCCCUGCCUUAUAUGUUAGUAUGGUUAGUAUACUUGAGCAUAUCCUAUUUGAUCCAUGACACUUGUUUACCUGUUAGCAUGCUCCAAUUCUUGUCCUGAUUUUAUGUGUUGAUAAUUUACCUUAGCAUGUCCCUAAUCAAUUCAUGGUUUCUGUGUACUUCUUUCAAGAAUAAUGUGCUUUAAAUUCCUGCUACCUUUUUUGAAUGGCUGUCUUAUUAGUCAUUUGACUCAGCAUGUUUCUCUAUGCUAAAUACAUGCCUAUAUGAUUCCACUUAGUAAUAGUUAAUAGGCUAAGUCAACUCUGGCAAUGUGAAACCUUAUUUGACUCAGUUGUGACUCUGCUCUGUCUAUGAUUCCAGUGUUCUUGUUCUGUUGUGAUUGUUUAACUAUUGGUAACUACAUCUAAAUCAAUUUGCUGAAAUAUGGUUCUGUUCUGUUUGCAACUUGUUUCUAUUCACUUCUGAAAAUAAAAUAUUUUUCAUAAAACUAUCCCUUACAUUUGUAUACUAUUUUCAAACUCUUAUUCUUAGCCAACUAGGGUCCUGCCACCCCCAGUGUGACCACUGCUUAGGGUCCAUGAGUCUCUUUUAAACUUUGACACAUUGGGGCUGGUUUUCUAAUCCUUUAUGAAAUUUUGUGUUGAACAUCUGAUUCUGGUGUGAGCAUUGCCCUUGGGAACUUUGACACCAGGAGCCAGUUUUAUGUGCUAUGGAUGAGCUACCAUUAUGCUCAGAGUUGCUAUGUUUGAAGGCCUGGUUACCAGGUUGAUAUUGGGCCUAUGAAGGCUCCAUAUAGUGUAAUGGAUACUAUUAUGUAAUUUAUUCAUCCUGGGCUGUAAUAAUCUCUGUAAUAAAUAGCUUUUGGGUUUAUUAGUAAAAGCUGGGGGGGGGGGGGUCUAUUCUUACAUCUCUAUUGAAAUUGGGUAGAUAUCAUGCCUAUAGAACUUAACUAUGCUGAUUGUACUAUGUGGAUACUGUAUUGUGUUUAGAGAUCCUGCCUAUAGGAUUUUAUGAUCGUUUGACUAUGUGCUGCACAUCUGCGUGUUAGAAACCAUGCUAUAGGACUUUAUGUUUAAUUCUGCACAUUAAAAAUUCUGUUUAUAGGAUCUGCACAUAUUUUCAAUUCAAUGCGCAUUAGUAACCAUGUCUAUAGGAUCUUGUCUGUUUGAAUAACAAUUUUCCUGGCAAUGUUCUUAAAGAAUUCUGCCUACACAUGAGUAAUAGAGAUCCUGCCUAUAGGAACUAAAAAUUAUCUAGAUACCAUGCCUAUAAGAAAUAAAAUAAUCAAUUCUGCAUAUAGUUAUCAUGUCUAUAGGAAAUAUCAGUUUUGCGCUUAGAUAUCAUGCCUAUAGGAAAUAAGCAUAUAAAAUUAGUCUUGACACUUAGACAUCAUGCCUAUAGGAAGUAAGUAUAAAAAAUUAGUUUAUGUGUUUAGAUAUCGUGUCUAUAAGAAAUAGUGCUUAUAAUUAGUUUCGACACUUAGAAAGCAUGCCUAUAGGAUCUAAAAGAUGAAAUCUUCAUGUUAAAAUCAAUAACUGGUUUACAGCUUAGAUACCAUAUCUAUAGGGUUCUACUCGACUAUCACUUAGGCAAGCCUAUAAGUUCAUUAAAAUUCUGGGUCUAAAAAAACUGUGAUUGCUUGUUUGACACAUGCCUGGAUUCAGAGUAUUACCCAAAUCAGUAGGCAAAACUGAUAGGUACUCGUCUGCUCAUUUUAAAACUGCUGUAUAUUCUAUUUUCUGUUCAUUUAGAUAUCUUGCCUAUAGGAUCCUAAAAUCAUUUAAAAUUGCUUGUUUGAACAACGUGCAUUUGUUUGUCUAUUUGUGGAGGUUAAUAUAAGCCCACUUAACUGCUCCUUAUGUGACAAUCCUACUUGAAUUUUGUUUGUCGCUUAGUUUUCUCCUUUUUAAACAAUAUAGGUGAGUCUAGAACCGCCUUAAAUAGAGGUUCUAAAUACCUCCAGGGCCAGAAGUAAGGGACAGGUAGUGCACGCAUACGGUACGCACUGGAUGUUAUUAGAAUGCUUAGGUAAUAAUUGAAAAAGGGAGGGUAAUUGGGUAGUAAAGGAUAUGAUGACUUGUGCGCUAAUGCUAUGUGUAGCACCCUAACUUAGGGACGAUUACCAAGUAUUGCACAGAAAUGAUCCUAUAGGCUAAAAACCUAGGACCUCUUUCACUCCUUGUUUUAAAAGUGACAUCUGUUUGUUAAAUUGCUUUAUUUCCUUUUAAGACUAAUUCGCUUAAAUUGAGUUUAGCUGGGACCCACUGUUGUGGACCUCGAGGGGUGCCUAACACCUUCCUCUCAAGGUAAUUUCGAGCCCUUACCCAAUCUCUGAUGAUGUAAACUAGUACAUGAGUUAUUUGCUUUAGGUGCCCUAACGCACUUUAAUCCGUUAGGUGGCGACUCUUCAAAUCUCUUACCCAAUUCAUAAAAGGAAAGGAGUUGUCCCAAAAUGUCAAAAACCGGACUCCGUGAGGAAAAAGGGGGCGCGACAGCAUGGCGACUUUGCCGGGGAUAAUUAGGCUCUUACCAUGACAAACUUGCUUUUUGUCAAUUAGUCUUAAGCAUGAUUUAUUUUGUUAAUACGUGUGCACCCUUUUCCUUUCCCCCUUUAUCUGGAUUUAAUGGCUUAUUUUCAAGCAUUUAUGAUUUCCUUUACUACAGAAACUGACUUGUCUCCUUGUUUUCUUUUUUAAACAUCUUUCCAUUAUUAAAUACAACAUUUAUCAUUUUUUAACGUGCAAAUACAUGACAAAAUGCUAUUUAUUGUUUUAUAAAUCAUGCUCAACAUCAUAUUCUACUCGUGCGCAAUCAAUACUAUAGAAACGAUCGAUAAGUGUUUGCGCCCUUCCUAUUUAUCACCCUUUAAAUUCGAAAAGGUGUAUUUGCAGUAAAACUAGUCGAUCAACGGUGCAGUUGACGGUUCCGUGCCUUUCCCCCUCAAGUUGUCCACUUGAGGGUACUAGUCUAUACCUCUAUAGAAACCUUACUCUAAUUAAUUGUACAUGCAUCAUGGUCAAACCUAGCCGAAUUAAUAUGUUGUCCACAUAAUAACCCUUUAAGACAAGCCUUGUCCAAAAGUCCACUGGGUUUUCCAUAAUCUCAAUAGACGCAACCACGAUUUUGUGCAUUAAUUUUGGAGAAAAUAAGUGCCAAUAUGCUAAUCAUUGUUUUAUAAAUAGUCGGAUCUGGAGGGGAAAGGGCCUAACCAUAUUUGUUUUGCAGAAAAUGNNNNNNNNNNNNNNNNNNNNNNNNNGAACAAGUGAUGAAAUCAUAUGAAAGGGUCUUGGGAAAUUUGCCUUCUUUGUUGGACCUCCAGUUAAACAACAUGUUAAUCGAAGCUACCAUAAUGUUCUGGGACAAAGAAAGAGCCAUGUUUCGCUUUGGAAACAUAGAAAUGACCCCUCUCUUGGAAGAAAUAGGGGGAUUUUCUAGGCUACCUUGGGAUAGUCCUGGUUUAUUGGUGCCGAAAAAUCACACUACUAGGGGGUUUCUGAAGAUGACAGGUCUGAAAAAGAAUGAGAAUUUGGAGUGCCUAAAGAAAUCUUAUAUACCUUUCCGACUUCCUCUAUGAAUAAUACGGUCACAACAAAUCUUAUCGUAUUUUUGAUAAUGAAUUCUACAUCACUUCCUUGGGUUUGAUUCACUGCAGGGUUUUUUGUGUUCAUCAUCUGCUUCUUGGGUAUGAUAGUGUUCCCGAUCCAAGGGGAUAAAAUCCACACCAGACUGGCCAUGGUAACCAAAACCUUGAUGGAUAGGAUCGAGAGGCAGACAUAUACCAUUGUCUCUAUGAUUAUAGAAGACAUAUACCGGGCCUUAGAACACUGUUAGAAGGGGUACAAAUACUUUGAAGGUUGUAAUUUGCUACUACGGGUUUGGUUGUUAGAGCAUCUCCAAAAAGGUCAAUACCGUCAAAAGCUUCCGUGAAGGCCGUGGAAUGAUCACAUAGAUUUCCAUCAUCCUAAGAGAAUGACUUAUAUCCCAGACAGGUUUGCUCAACCCGAAAAUGUUGUAGGAUGGGCGCAGUUUUUUCAGCAAUUUGACCGAGGAUCAGGUUCAAUGGACGUAUGGUUCCCUACCGACGAGUUCAUCAUCAGAUCUAGGGAUGUUCCACACUUGAUACUGAUAGGGUUAAGGGGUAUAUACCCUUAUGCUCCCAUCAUGGUUAUGAGAUAGGUAGGCAGGAAGUAGGUCAUACAGUGAGUUGCUAAAAUGAGUCACUAUAGGCCAGUUUUUCAGGAUAACGACAUCCCAUACAAAUGUGAAGCUCAGCAUAUGUGGAAUUUGAAAAUUAUCGUGGAAAGGGAUACCAUCGAGCUAGAUCGAUAUCAUUCCGGUCAUGUAUACUUUUACCCAUCAUGAUUAGAAGAUAACAUAGCAGGAAUAUUCGAGCCAAGGGUUGGUCCAGGAAAUCGAGUAAUAGAUGAAGUUGCCGAAGCACAAGCAAAAUAUAACAAACUGCGCAAAAGAGUUCACGAGUCCAAGGCCGAUCACCUGGAGCGGCACAAUACCGAUAUCGAACUAAUUAAUGAAUGGAGGGAGAUGAAUGUUAAAUCAAGUGAAAGGUUAGAAUAUCUGGAGUACAGUCUGAUGGAAUUGGAGGGAAAAUGGGGAAGAGAGUCACCGAUUGCCAAAACACCGAAGGAAGUGAAGGAGGACAUUUAGCAAGGGCAUACCUACUGUUGAACCUGCACGAACUGGGAAUUUGAUCGAGGAAGCCAAAAACAUCCAGCCUGGAGAAGGUCCUUCGGGGACCAAGUAGAUUAGGUUUAUUUACUUUUUCAAAUUUAAUAAGGUUAAGUGCCAUAAGUGACUUAUCUUAUUUAUUGUCAUUUUAGAUUCAUCUAUUUUUAUAUUAAUGAAAUGAGGCAAUUAUUGGCACUGAAAUUCUCCAAAUCAACGUGUCACUAAGCCUACCUCGGUCACAACGAGGCUCCCAAAUUAGGACGCAGAUUUACAUUCCUGCAAUACGUGUUUAAAUACUACAAACAUUUUCAGAAUCCUUACUAACUUGUUUACCUUUUUGUUUUCUUUAUUUUUAUUAUUCCCAUCCCCUAAGGUUGGUUUGCACAUACUAGCAUCAUCAACAUAUCGCACCAGAUCUAGAGGCACUCCACCUCCUCCUCCUCCAAUUAAUCCGAAAAGCAGAGGAAAAGCUAAGAUGGAUGAUUUGAGUGGUAUCUGAAAAGAAAAUGCUGAGAAUAUUGAAACUUCAUACGGUCGGAGUACUCCGGCCCAAAAUGAUUUGGUCCUACAAUUGGAGCAGAAAAUACUGGAGUUAAUUGCAAGGAGAACUUGAACAGGUCUGUAACUUGGCAAACCUCUCCCUCACUCUGAACGUCCCAGACGUUAACCAACAAAAUGCUCAAAACCCAACACCUCCUCAAAAUACGCCAAACCAACGUCCAUAAAAUCCUCCCUCACCCCAUCAAUAUGCCACACCCCGUCAAAAUCCCAAUCUUCCACCUGUACCAACUCCUUCACAACACCAUCAUCAACCAACCCAGUAUCCACAAACCACUACCUAUCACACUCCUCAGUACACAUCACAACCUAUUCCCGAUCCUCAAAACUCAACCAACGACCACCACUACACCCAAACCCCUAGCAGCCACCAAAAUAACCCUAUAUACGUGGAGACACUACCUCACUGCACUUAGCCAAUCUCCUAUACACCAAAAUUUGCUGAGAAGGACCUGCUCAUCAAGAACAUGGCCGAGGAGCUCAAGAAGAUGACAAGCCGAGUUCAGGGUGUUGAAGGAGGUAAGGUGAUAGAAGGUCUAAACUAUGAGGAUUUAUGCAUACAACCAGAUGUGGAACUGCCAGAGGGUUACAAACCUCCCAAGGUCGAAAUGUUUAACGGAACGGGUGAUCCGAAGGUUCAUUUGAGAACUUAUUAUGACAAGCUCGUGGGGGUCGGAAAAGAUGAAAGGAUUCGAAUGAAGCUCUUCAUGAGAAGUCUUACUGGAGAUGCUCUGUCUUGGUACAUAAGCUAGAAUCCUAAGAAGUGGGCCAAUUGGGUGAGCAUGGCAUCAUAUUUUUUGGACUGGUUCAGGUUUAAUACGGAGAAUUUUCCAGAUGUCUUUUAUAUCCAGAAUCUAAAAAAGAAUCCAACUAAGACUUUCCACGAGUGUGCUACUCGGUAGAGGUUGGAAGCAGCCAAGGUCAGAUCAGCAUUAGAUAAGGAACAGAUAAACAAGUUCUUUGUCCGGGCACAUGACCCAUAGUAUUAUGAAAGGCUAAUGGUCAUUGAGAAUCAUAAAAGGACAUACCAUUGACAAGUGCCGAGCAUUGAAAGAUAAGAUCCAGACAUUGAUUGAUAAUAAGGUCAUACAAGCGAAGGAAACUGCACCCAACGUCCACUUUGAAGCACAUAGGAGUGCUCUAAUAAAGGUGUUGAAUGAAGCUUACAUGCCUAACAAUAUCACCAGUGGAGAGAUGGCCAACAUGGUAGGGCAAGUACUGGAGAGUCAUAAGAUCACCUUCCACGAGGAUGAACUACCGCCUGAAGGGUUAAGUCUCAACAGGGCACUGCAUAUCACGGUACAGUUUGAAGACAAAUUCAUUGUCAGGGUCCUAAUAAAUGGGGGUUGAAGCCUCAACAUUUGUCCAUUGACUACUUUGUAAAGGUUGGGCAAAUAUUUCCAUGAGAUACGGGCAGGAAGUAUGAACGUGAAAGCAUUUGAUGGAUCUUAAAGGGCUACGAUUGGGGAGAUUAACCUUUGUCUGCAGAUGGGACCAAGUUGGUUCAAUGUUGAGUUCCAAGUAAUAGACAUAUCAGCUACAUACAAUCUUCUAUUAGGUCGACCUUGGAUACAUGCCGUUGGGGCUAUGGCUUCUACACUGCACCAGGCCGUGAAGUUCAAAUGGAACCAUCAGAAGAUAAUCAUUCACGGAGAUGGAAGUAACCCCAUUUACACCAUUGAAGUUAUCCCGGUUAUCGAGAAUAGAAGAAGGCUGGGUGGAGAAAUUUACCACCACAUUGAACAUGUUACCGCAAUUGAGAAGGACAAGUGGUGGAGUAACAAAAUAGAAAGCAUACUGGCAUGGUCUGGGUAUGAACCCGACAAAGGGCUUGAGAAGAAACUCCAGGGCAUUACCAAACUGAUACAAUUGAAAUGUCACGGCACAACUUUCGGGCUGGGAUAUCCAUACACCUGGCAAGAAUAUAAUGAUUGGUCGCCACCAUGGCGUGGUUCUUAUUAUCCUCUCGAGCAGCUAGUGCCACAUCUAAGUCAGAAUUUUCACCAGGCCGAUACAAUAUGGGGAUCUGCAGAUGAAGAAGCUUUGGCUGGGUUGAGAAAUAUGUUCCUAGAAGACGAGACUAUGGAUUGCAAUAUGAUAGUUGGGGAGGAGGAGGAAGAAGGCCUUACCAUUCAGACUGUGGAGAAGGGAGUUGUUCUCAGGAAUUAGACUGUCACACCAUCCCAGUCCCGCUGAAUUCCUAGGUAGCUUGGCAAUUAGCCUGACUUGUUUUAAUAGCCAUGCUAGGCAUUUAAGAUACUUUCAGUAUUUUGUUUUAAAGACGCAUUUUGUUUUGAAAUAAUUGCUCGAGCCAUCGAGCCGUACUUGUUUUGGAUAUUUUCAAAAUUAAUUAAUGCAUUGCUAUUUACUAUUCAUUAUUAUCUUUCACAUUUUUCUUCUACAGCGUUAUUAUUACUUUUCCUGAUGAACCGAUGACUGUGACAUGUAAUGAGACAACGCAAUAUAAGGAUAGUGACUCAGAAGAAGAGGAUGAAAUACUUGAGGAAGUUGUCAGAGAAGUUGAGAAUUUUGAGAACAAACCUAAGUCCAACCUGGACGAAACUGAAGCAAUCAAUUUGGGGGAUUCUGAAACCGUCAAAGAGACUCGCAUAAGCAUUCACUUAUCACCGUCAGAGAAGGAAGAAUACACUCAUUUUAUGAAAGAAUAUGAAGAUAUUUUUGUAUGGUCAUAUGAUGACAUGACCGGUCUGAGCACAUCCAUAGUGGCUCAUAAGUUGCCUACCAAUCCAAUAUAUCCGCCAGUGAAGCAGAAACUCAAAAAGUUCAAGCCAGAUAUGAGCCUAAAAAUCAAGGAAGUAGUCACCAAACAAAUCAAAGCCAAGGUCCUCAGGGUAGUUGAGUACCCAACCUGGUUAGCCAACAUUGACUUGAGAAAGUUCUUUGAUAGGCUAAAGAGGUACAAUCUAAAAUUGAACCCCGCAAAAGGUGCAUUUGGGGUUCCUGCAAGAAAGCUGUUGGGAUUCAUUGUCAGCCGCCAAGGAAUCGAGUUGGUCCCGUCCAAAGUUAAGGCUAUCCAAGAGUUACCACCACCAAAGAGCAAAAAGGACGUGAUGAGCUUCCUGGGACGCCUCAACUAUAUCAAUCGCUUCAUAGCACAGUCCAUGGUAAUAUGUGAACUCAUCUUCAAAUGUUGAGGAAAGAUGCUGAAACCAGUUGGACUGAGGAUUGUGAGAAGGCUUUUGACAAAAUCAAGGAAUACCUAUCUACAUCGCCAGUCCUAGUCUCGCCAGAACCUGGGACACCUUUGCUACUCUAUUUAUCCGUAUUAGAUGGAGCUUUCAGAUGUGUUUUGUGAUAAUAUGACGAGACAGGAAAAGAGGAGCAAGCCAUAUACUACUUGAGUAAGAAGUUCACUCCUUAUGAAGCACAAUACUCUCUGCUGGAACGCACUUGCUGUGCUUUGACCUGGACAACUCAAACAUUAAGGCAUUACUUCUGUGCCUAUACCACAUACCUCAUAUCCAGGAUGGACCCUCUGAAGUACAUCUUUCAGAAGCACAUGCCAACCGGGAAGUUAGCCAAGUGGAAGAUAUUGUUAAGUGGGCUCGAUAUCAUCUAUGUAACUUAGAAGGCGGUCAAAGGACAAGCAUUGGCAGACCAUCUUGCUGAAAAUCCUGUGGGAGGAGAAUACGAACCACUAAAAACGUAUUUUCCUGAUGAAGAAGUGUCAUUCAUAGGAGAGGACAUUGUUGAAGCCUACGACGGUUGGAGAAUGUUCUUCGAUGAGGCUGCAAACUUCAAAGGAGGGGACAUUGGAGCAGUUUUGGUAUCGGAAAUAGGUCAACAUUACCCGAUAUCCACAAAGCUUAGGUUUAUGUGCACCAACAAUGUGGCAGAAUAUGAGGCUUGCAUUAUGGGGCUCAAUCUGUCCAUCGAUAUGAAUAUACAAGAGUUACUGGCAAUUGGUGAUUCGAAUCUUCUGGUACAUCAGGUUCAAGGAGAAUGGGCUAUAAAAUACACCAAGAUACUACCAUACUUGUAUCAUGUGCAAGAAUUAAUGAAGAGGUUCACAAAUAUAGAAUUCAAACAUGUUCCAAGAGUCCAGAACGAGUUCGCAGACGCACGGGUCACCUUGUCAUCAAUGAUACAACAUCCAAAUAAGAAUUUCAUCGAUCCCAUCCCGGUGAAAAUCCAUAACCAACCGGCUUACUGUGCUCAUAUUGAAGAAGAAACGGAUGGAAAACCUUGGUUCCACGACAUCAAAGAAUAUUUGGCGAAAGGAGCAUAUCCAGAACAUGCAAACCACACUAAAAACACACAUUACGGAGGUUGUCCAAUCACUUAUUCCAAAACGGAGGGACCAUAUAUAGAAUAACUCCUGAUCUAGGAUUGUUAAGGUGUGUUGACGCAAAGGAGGCUUCUAGAUUGCUAGAGGAGAUACAUGCGGAACUUGCGGACCACCUAUGAACGGUUUUGUUCUAGCCAAAAAGAUAUUCAGAGCCAGAUAUUUUUGGAUGACCAUCAAAAUAGAUUGCAUCAGGUACGUCCAGAAAUGACACCAAUGCCAGGUACAUGCAGACAUGAUAAAGGUACCACCAAACGAGCUCAAUGCAACAAGUGCACCUUGUCCUUUUGCUGCCUGGGGAAUGGAUGUCAUCGGUCUGAUCGAGCCCACCGCUUCCAACGGACAUCGGUUCAUUUUAGUGGCUAUCGACUAUUUCACAAAAUGGGUAAAGGCUGCAUCUUACAAAGCUGUAACCAAAAAAGUCGUCGCAGAUUUUGUAAAGGAUCGUAUUAUUUGCCGAUUCGGGGUUCCCGAGUUCAUUAUCACUGAUAAUUCUGCCAAUCACAACAGUUAUCUGAUGAAAGUUAUGUGUGAAACCUUCAAAAUCAUGCACAAAAUCUCUACAGCAUACUGCCUCAAAUGAAUGGAGCCAUGGAAGCUGCCAAUAUAAACAUCAAGAAGAUACUGAGGAAGAUGGUAGAAAAUCACAAAUAAUGGCACGAGAAGUUACCCUUUGCCCUAUUGGGGUACCGCACUACGGUCCGUACAUCAACUAGGGCAACUCCCUAUUUACUGGUUUAUGGUACCGAAGCUAUCAUUCCAGCCGAGGUAGAAAUCCCUUCUUUAAGGAUCAUACAAGAAGCCGAAAUUAGUGAUGCAAAAUGGAUAAGGAGUCAUUAUGAGAAACUAUCCCUCCUAGGCAGAAAACAAAUGAAUGCGGUAUGUCACGGUCAGCUUUAUCAGAAUAGGAUGUCCAGAUCUUUCAAAAAAAGGGUAAGACCAAGACAAUUCACACCGGGGCAGCUGGUGCUGAAGCGAAUCUUCCCAUAUCAGGAUGAAGCCAAAGGGAAAUUUUCACCCAACUGACAAGGUCCCUACAUGGUUCACUGGGUGCUAACAAGAGGAGCACUCAUACUCGUCGAAAUGGACGGAGAAGUCUGGCCAAAACCUAUCAAUUCAGAUGCAGUCAAAAGAUACUAUGUGUAAACCAUUUCAUGUUUCUUCAUAUGAUUUAAACUGAACUACGCUUGACAUGAUUCCCGUUUAAGAGGGGAUACGUAGGCAGCCCUGUGGGUUCGGUCUUAUCAUAAAAUCUUCAUUUUCCUCAGAACCAGAAACUGGGGCAGAAUUUUGAGGAGGACCCUUAAAAUUCCGGAGCAAGUCCGGCCGACGCCAUCAUAUGCUAGAAAGUCAGAAAUUCGUUAAGUAACUGGGGCAGAAUUUUGAGAAGGAUUCUCAAAUUUCUGGAGCAGAUCCAACAAAUUUCAUUGCACGCAGAACGGCCGAAGGAUCAAACUGGGGAAGAAUUUUGAGAAGGACCCUCAAAAUUCUGGUGUAAGGAAGCCGCAAUAUCUCUAAAAGUGUUACAGUUAUUAGUUCAUCUAAUUUACUUGAUAUUAUAUACCACUAUGUUUUCUAAAAUAACUCUAUUUCAUCAAUAAGUGCAUAUUUUUGAAAACUUUAUUUCUAUGGAAGCCAAGUGUUACCUAGGACGACUCGAACAAGGCCUCCAGAGCAAACAAAGCAAAGCAAGCAGACAAAGGCACGAACCAACCUUCCCUUACAAAACUCGUGAUUUUUCUUUGGAUGCAGGCACAGUGAACAUAACAGGAGUAUUCGCAAAAAUACACAUAUCAAGAUCACUAUCAAUCAGGGCACCAGACGCAAAUAUAUCUCCAGCUAAGAAAUAUUCUACUCCUAUUUGCUACUUGAUCACUGCAUAAGGCUAAGCAUUGCCUUCUUCUUACAUGAGACUAAGCUCUAUCUCGAUCCUUGCAUGAGGCUAAGCCCUGCCUCCAUAUUUUCAUAAGGCUAAGCAUUGCCUUCUCUUUGCAUGAGACUAAGCUCUGUCUCGAUCAUUGCAUGAGGCUAAGCCCUGCCUCCAUAUUUGCAUAAGGUUAAGCAUUGCCUUAUCUUUGUAUGAGACUAAGCCCUGUCUCAAUUCCUGCAUGAGGCUAAGCCCUACCUCCCUAUUUGCAUAAGGCUAUGCAUUACAUUCUCUUUGCAUGAGACUAAGCCCUGUCUCAAUUCUUGCAUGAGGCUAAGCCCUGCCUCCAUAUUUGCAUAAGGCUAAGCAUUGCCUUCUCUUUGUAUGAAACUAAGCUCUGUCUCAAUUCUUCCAUGAGGCUAAGCCCUGCCUCUCUAUUUGCAUAAGGUUAAGCAUUGCCUUCUCUUUACAUGAGACUAAGACCUGUCUCAAUUCUUGCAUGAGUCUAAGCCCUGCCUCCAUAUUUGCAUAAGGCUAAGCAUUGCCUUCUCUUUGCACGAGACUAAGCAUUGUACCCCUUUCUUGCAUGAGGUUGAGCCCUGCCUCCAUAUUUGCAUAAGGCUAAGCACUGCCUUCUCGUGAGACUAAGCUUUGUCUCCCUUUGCAUAAGUGUUGCUCUAUUCUAAACUUUGCCUUAUCUUCUUCUCUCGGGGCUAAGCUUUGCCCCCCAAAACUCUGUAAAAGACUAAGCUUUGUCUUAUUAUCACCUUUGGUAUCAUGUCUCUGCACUUCAUGGGCUGAUGCAUAACCAACUUGUCCAAAGGCAUCAUAGUCCGAAGGCAUCAUCCUCAUAGCCUGAAGACACCAUGUCAUGGCCUGAGGAUCUCUCAAUACUGCACAUCAUUAUUCAAAGGCGUCAUGUUUCAGAGGCACCAUUCUCAUGACCCGAGCGCAUCAUUUCAUGGCCCGUGAAUCCCUUAUCUUAUGAUCAUGGCCCAGGAUAUCAUGGUCUAAGGACGUCAUCUUCACUGUCCAAAAACAACCUCCAUGGUCCAAAGGGAAUUUGCAUCAUGUUUAAAUUCUCGAAGUAAUCUAUAUACUUGCAUGCAUCGUGUUUUAAGUUUUGCAGGUAACCCAAGAAGUAACAGUUCUUCAAACAGGAGCAACCUUCGCUCCGGUUUCCGAUCGUACCACUCAUACUCUGCCAUUUAACUGAUUCCCAUCAAUUACCCGCCUUUACUCUGUAACCAUUCAGAUAUCUGCCCUAUAAUACAUCCGUUACGCUUUAGACUCAUAUUCAUAACUCUGCAUAAACCCACUUGAUACCACCCUUCACAAAAGAACCUUUUCUGAAACAUACUACCAUUCCCAUAACAAUUCCACUGGUUUCAUCCACCGGUGGGUCCAUAACUACACAUGGCCUGAUUCCUGUAAAACCAGGGAUAUGUAGGCAGCUGAGAAAUUAGGGUGCAGCCUACAUUUUUCAAAACACCCCCCCAUUCGGUCAAAAUCGUUCAUCAUUUCUUUACCUGACAACUCUUUCAUCCUUCCCGGGUAAAGAGGGACAACUGUUGAUACCCAAUUUUUUUCUCAUAUAUUUUUAACAUGCAUACAUUUUCAAAAUAGUGCACAUGCAUUCACAAACAUGCACAACUAUUCCUAUAAUUUUUCUAUAAUUUUAAAGGCUUUCAAACAAUUUAUUUCUGCAUUUUUACUAUACAAAUAUCCAAUAAUUAUCCCUCGUAUUAUUUUAAUGAUGAUUUAAUCAUCCAAUUUCAUCAUUUAUGUACAAAUAGUGCUUAAAUAUUUUAAUUUUAUUUUUUAUAAUUACAUUUACAUUUUAAGGCUAGAAUUGCACAUUUUGCAAUAAUAGCUCAAACAUAUGCAUAAUUAUAUUAUCUAUAUCGAAAAUAACUUUUUAUAUUUUUAUAAUGUUAAGUAACUAUUUUAAAUCAUUUUAAUAUACAAAUCACAUUUUUAUCAUCUAUUAAUUAUUUUUAUAAAUUAUUUUAGUAAUUUAAAUGGGUAUUUAAAACAUAGCCCCUUUUCUCAAUUAAUUUUUGGACCUACCUUAGCCCAAUACCCUAACCUAACCCAAACCCAAUAACCCAAUUAUUAUAACCAGCCCUAAUCCCGGGCUUAAUCCUGGCCGUUGAUCUCAGAAGAUCAAUGGUCUAAGACAAACUUUCCUUAUUAAUAACACCAAACACCUCUAACCCUAAUCAUUUCUUCCGCCCUGCCGCCCUUGAAUCCCUUCUCCUCUCUUCUCUAUCAAACUCUCCCCUAACCCUAGCCCACCGUCACCGAAAACCCUUACAUCCAUGGGGUUUCCCAUCGAUCUUAGGCCCCAUCCGGCCUCCUACCUCUACUGGUUGUUCGAUUUCUUUGUUGUUUGAUGGAAUCUCGAAGAGAUUCAACACAAACUUGGCUUCAACUCGUCAUUUUCUUGAUGAACCUUCCUAUGUUCAUCUCUAUGUUUGUGAGUGCUGUUAUCUUCAUGUUUAUGGCUUAAACCUCCGGUUCCAAACCGGAUUUUUCUCACCUCUGUCAUUUUAAAAAAAAAACUAGUCGCUUUCUACUCGAGUCUAUUCAGAUCUCUGUAGAUCUGAGAUGAUUUUGAGUUUAUCUGAUAUUUCUCUUUAAAAAACCUUCUGUUUUUCUUUUUAUUAACCGACUUUAGCUUUUCCCCAAAACUAGGAUUUCAUCUCUUUACGUUUCUGCAAAAAAUCUAAAAAUUUUAAGUGUGGUUCUCUUUACUUGUUCGACUGAUUUUCAUAUCUAUGUUCUAAUCCUUAGGGUUUCUAAUCGUUUCGCUAUUUGUUCAGAUAUUUGCCUGUUAUUCAUUGGCCCUGUCAAUUAACAGAGAUUAACUAUUUUAUUUGCCUAAUUAGGGUUCAAAAUUAUAUUUUCCUGUUGAAAUUGGUAUUUCUCUGUGAUUUUACUUAUUUUUCCUUAUUUAUGACUCAUAAUUGGUACUACUUGCCUUAAUUAGGCUAUUAGCCUGAUUUCUGGGAUUUGAUUAUUUUAACCGGCUCCUAGAUGGUCUUUGAUUUAUUUGUUUACCUUAUUAAACUUCAAUCUUGCUUGUUAAUUGAUCCUCCCUAAUCUAAGUGAUAUGUCCCGAAUUUUAUCGUGUUAAUUGAUUGGGUUUUAACCUUAAUUAACUGAUUGAAUGAUUUGCAUACCUUACUUGUGAACUCUUAAUUUCAUUUGCCUUAUUAGUUCUACUCUGUUGAAUGCUAUAUAACCCCACCAUUCUGAUUUUUUUUGACACACGAACAAAAACGGGAAGAUACAAAAGACACUUACACACAUAAACUCUUACUCACACACUCACAACUGUAGUUCUUUCUGUUAGUUCUACUUGCUAUUCUGUCUAGCCGGCUGAAAGCCAAGGCUAGACCCUUGGAUUUCAUUCAUCUUCACCUUCCUGUUUGCUAUCUCCUUAGCUGGUAUGCCUCCAUUUCUAUUAUCAUUCUAUAUCUUAUGUAGUUAAACUUCAGCAUGCUUCUGUUUGCCCCUAUGUUUUCCUUUUUAUUGCUCUUUUAACCAGCAUGACUUAUUUCUUGUUAACUUGCCCUGUCUUAUAUGUCAGUAUGGUUAUUAUACUUGAGCGUAUCCUGUUUGAUCCAUGACACUUGUUUACCUGUUAGCAUGCUCCAAUUCUUGUCCUGGUUUUAUGUGCUGAUAAUUUACCUUAGCAUGUCCCUAAUCAAUUCAUGGUUUCUGUGUACUUCUUUCAAGAAUAAUGUGCUUUAAAUUCCUGCUACCUUUUUUGAAUGGCUGUCUUAUUAGUCAUAUGACUCACCAUGUUUCUCUAUGCUAAAUACAUGCCUAUAUGAUUCCACUUAGUAAUAGUUAAUAGGCUAAGUCAGCUCUGGUAAUGUGAAACCUUGUUUGACUCAGUUGUGACUCUGCUCUGUCUAUGAUUCCAGGAACUGUUCUGUUGUGAUUGUUUAACUACUGGUAACUACAUCUAAAUCAAUUUGCUGAAAUAUGGUUUUGUUCUGUUUGCAACUUGUUUCUAUUCACUUCUGAAAAUAAACUAUUUUUCAUAAAACUAUCCCCUACAUUUGUAUACUAUUUUCAAACUCUUAUUCUUAGCCAACAAGGGUCCUGCCACCCCCAGUGUGAGCACUGCUUAGGGUCCAUGAGUCUCUUCUGAACUUUGACACAUUGGGGCUGGUUUUCUAAUCCUUUAUGAAAUUUUAUGUUGAACAUCUGAUUCUGGUGUGAGCAUUGCCCGGGGUCCCUGAGGCCCUUGGGAACUUUGACACACCAGGAGCCAGUUUUAUGUAUAGAUGGGCUACCAUUAUGCUCAGAGUUGCUAUGUUUGAAGGCCUGAUUACCAGGUUGAUAUUGGGCCUUUGAAGGCUCCCUAUAGUGUAAUGGAUACUAUUAUGUAAUUUAUUCAUCCUGGGCUGUAAUAAUCUCUGUAAUAAAUAGCUUUUGGGUUUAUUAGUAAAAGCUGGGGGGAGGGGUCUAUUCUUACAUCUCUAUUGAAAUUGGGUAGAGAUCAUGCCCAUAGGAUUUUAUGAUCGUUUGACUCUGUGCUACACAUCUGCGUGUUAGAAUCCCUGCUAUAGGACUUUUUGUUUAAUUCUGCACAUUAAAAAUUCUGUUUAUAGGAUCUGCACAUAUUUUCAAUUCAAUGCGCAUUAGUAACCAUGUCUAUAGGAUCUUGUCUGUUUGAAUAACAAUUUUCCUGGCAAUGUGCUUAAAGAAUUUUGCCUACACAUGAGUAAUAGAGAUCCUGCCUAUAGGAACUAAAAUUCAUCUAGAUAUCAUGCCUAUAGGAAAUAAAAUAAUUAAUUCUGCAUAUAGUUAUCGUGUCUAUAGGAAAUAUCAGUUUUGCGCUUAGAUAUCAUGCAUAUAGGAAAUAAGCAUAUAAAAUCAAUCUUGACACUUAGACAUCAUGCCUAUAGGAAGUAAGUAUAAAAAAUCAGUUUCUGUGUUUAGAUAUCGUGUCUAUAAGAAAUAGUGCUUAUAAUUAGUUUCAGCACUUGGAAAGCUUUCCUAUAGGAUCUAAAAGAUGAAAUCUGCCUGUUAAAAUCAAUAACUGGUUUACAGCUUAGAUACCAUGUCUAUAGGGUUCUACUCGACUAUCACUUAGGCAAGCCUAUAGGUUCAUUAAAAUUCUGGGUCUAAAAAACUGUGAUUGCUAGUUUGACACAUGCCCGCAUUCAGAGUAUUAACCAAAUCAGUAGGCAAACUGAUAGGUACUCGCCUGCUCGUUUUAAAACUAUUGUAUAUUCUGUUUUGUAUUCAUUUAGAUAUCCUGCCUAUAGGAUCCUAAAAUCAUUUAAAAUUGCUUGUUUGAACAACGUGUUGAUUUGUUUGUCUAUUUGUGGAGGUUAACAUGAGCCCACUUAACUGCUCCUUAUAUUACAGUCCUACUUGACUUUUGUUUGUCGCUUAGUUUUCUCCUUUUAAACAACAUAGGUGAGUCUAGAACCGCCUUAAAUAGAGGUCCUAAACACCUCCAGGGCCAUAGGUAAAGGACGGGUAGUGCACGUAUUAAGGUACGCACUGGAUGUUAUUAAAACGCUUAGGUAAUAAUUGAAAAGGUGAGGGUAAUUGGGUAGUAAAUGAAAUAAUGACAUGUGCGCUAAUGCUAUGUGUAGCACCCCAACUUGGGGAUGAUUACCAAGUAUUGCACAGAAGUGAUCCUAUAGGCUUAAAAACCUUGGACCCCUUUUACUCCUUGUUUUAAAAGUGAUAUUUGUUUGUUAAAUUGCUUUAUUUCCUUAUAAGACUAAUUCGCUUAAAUUGAAUUUGACUGGGACCCAUUAUUGUGGACCUCGAGGGGUGCCUAACACCUUCCCCUCAAGGUAAUUUCAAGCCCUUACCCAAUCUCUGGUGAUGUAAACUAGUACAUGAGUUAUUUGCUCUAGGUGCCCUAACACACCUUAAUCCGUUAGGUGGCGACUCUUCAAAUCUCUUACCCAGUUCCCAAAAGGAAAUGAGUUGUCCCAAAAUAUCGAAACUCGAACUCCGUGAGGAAAACCCGGAAACAGUGAUGCCUAAAGCCAAGACUCAUUUGCCAAGGCCGCCUCCACCUUACCCUCAAAGACUUGCAAAGCAGAAAAGUGAAAACCAGUUCAAGAAUUUUAUUGAGAUGAUGAAAAAUUUUCAAUCAAUGUGCCCUUGGCGGAAGCUCUUGAGCAAACUCCUGGAUACGCCAAGUUUAUGAAAGACUUGGUAACUAAAAAGAGAUCUAUGGAUUGUGAGACCAUCAAAAUAACUCAUCAAGUGAGUGCUAUUGUACACUCGAUAGCUCCAAAGCUUGAAGAUCCCGCCGCAUUUACCAUUCCAUGUACCAUUGGGAGUGCAGAUUUUGCCAAGGCCUUAUGUGAUUUGGAAGCGAGUAUAAAUUUGAUGCCAUACUCUGUCUUCAAAACUUUGGCUAUUGGUCAACCGAGAGCUACUUCAAUGAGAUUUCAAAUGGCCGAUAGAACAUUGAAGAGGCCGCUUGGUAUUAUUGAUGAUGUUCUUGUCCGGGUGGACAAGUUUAUUUUGCCUGCUGAUUUUGUGAUCCUCGACUACAAAGUCGACUAUGAGGUGCCGAUAAUAUUGGGAAGGCCUUUCCUAGCAACAGGGAAGGCAUUGGUUGAUGUGGAAGCAGGGGAACUCACCUUUCGGGUGGGUGACGAAAAAGUUGUCUUCCAUGUGUGCAAAUCAAUGAGGCAACCGAAUAGUACUGAGGUUUGUUCUUUUGUGGAUCUGGUGACGAAGGUGAAAAUUGAUGACACAAGUGCCAUGAUCAAUGUAGAGGAUCCUUUGGAAGCGAUAUUGUUGAACCAUGAUGUGACCGAGGAUGAAGGCUUGGUAGAGUGUGUCAAUGCCUUGCACGGAAUGGGUUCUUACUUCUAUGAACCCCGUAAACUCUCCUUGGAUCUUGAGAAUAGAAAGACUCCACCAACAAAGCCCUCAAUUGAGGAACCUCCUAUAUUGGAGUUGAAGCCUUUACCUCCACACAUCAGGUAUGAAUUCUUGAGCCCUUGUUCAACUUUACCUGUUAUUCUUUCUUCUUGCCUUACUAACAUGCAGGUAGAUGCCACCCUUGAGGAGCUUCAAAGAAGGAAGAGAGCAAUUAGAUGGACUCUAGCUGAUACUCGGGGGAUAAGCCCCGCCUUUUGCAUGCACAAGAUUAUACAUGAGGAGGAUGCCAAACCCUCUGUGGAACAUCAAAGGAGGUUGAACGAGGCAAUGCAAGAGGUCGUCAAGAAGAAAGUUAUAAAGUGGCUAGAUGCAGGGGUUGUGUAUCCCAUCUCGGAUAGUUCUUGGACUUCUCCGGUAUAAUGUGUGCCAAAAAAGGGGGUAUGACUAUGGUCACAAAUGAGCAAAAUGAGUUGAUCCCUACUAGGACUGUCACCGGAUGGCAGUAUGCAUGGACUACCGGAAGCUGAACAAAGUGACCCGCAAAGAUCAUUUUCCAUUGCCUUUUCUUGACCAAAUGUUGUAUAGACUUGCUGGGCGUUCCUACUAUUGUUUUCUGGAUGGGUACUCAAGUUACAAAGUGUCCGUAUGGCACCUUUGCAUUUUCUAGGAUGCCAUUUGGUUUGUGUAAUGCACCGGCUACCUUUCAAUGGUGUAUGAUGGGUAUAUUUACUGACAUGGUGGAGGACUUCUUUGAAGUGUUCAUGGAUGAUUUCAGUGUUGUGGGUGACUCUUUUGAAGAAUGUUUGGGUAAUCUUGACAAAGUGUUGGGCCGAUGUGAGGAGACAACUCUGUUGCUUAAUUGGGAAAAGUGCAACUUUAUGGUCGAGGAGGGCAUUGUCCUCGGCCAUAAGAUCUCAAAGAAUGGUAUCGAAGUGGACAAAGCGAAGAUUGAAGUGAUCUCAAAACUCCCUCCUCCUACUUCCGUCAAAGGAGUGAGGAGCUUUCUUGGGCAUACGGGGUUCUAUCGAAGGUUCAUCAAGGACUUCUCUAAGGUAGUGAAUCCCUUGUGCAAAUUGUUGGAGAAGGAUGCAAAGUUUGUGUUUAAUGAUGAGUGCAUGAAAGCUUUUGAGCUUCUCAAGUAUAGAUUGACGACCACUCCCAUCAUCACCGCACCCAAUUGGAGCUUGCCAUUGGAGCUCAUGUGUUAUGCUAGUGACGUUGUGGUUGGAGCGGUCUUGGGUCAAAGGGUGAACAAGAUGUUUCAUCCGGCCAGGUUAAUUAUACUGUAACAAAGAAAGAGUUGCUAGCAAUUGUGUUUGCAAUGGAGAAGUUUAGGCCUUAUCUCAUGGGUGCCAAGGUGAUUGUUCACACUGAUCACGCAGGACUCCGUUACUUGAUGAUCAAAAAGGAUUCUAAAGCUAGAUUGAUGAGAUGGGUUUUGUUGCUUCAAGAAUUUGACCUAGAGAUUGUUGAUCGGAAAGGUUGUGAAAACCAAGUGGCGAACCACUUGUCCCUCUUGGAGAAGGAGGGGAGAUCCAUAGAUUGUCUCAAAAUUAAUGAUGCAUUUCCAGAUGAACAACUUCUCUCAGUUUCUAUGAAUAGUAUGCCUUGGUUCACCGAUGUGGCCAAUUUUCUUGUGACCGGCAUUGUUCUGAGUGAGCUCUCUUCUAACAAAAGGAAGAAUCUUAAAUGGGAGAACCUUAUCUUUUCAAGAUUUGUAAUGAUGGUAUGAUCCGGAGAUAUGUUCCGGAAGAGGAGCAAAUGAGUAUUCUUGAUGCUUGCCAUUCCUCGCCCUGCGGUGGUCAUCAUGGUGGGGUGAGAACUGCUUCAAAGGUUCUUAGUUAUGGUUUUUAUUGGCUUACUUUGUAUAAAGAUGCUGGUAAGCUUGUCAAGAGAUGUGAUGAAUAUCACAGAGCAGGUGGAAUUUCUAAGAAGGAUGAAAUGCCUCUCACCACUAUUCUUGAGGUUGACAAUUUUGAUGUGUGGGGAAUAGACUUCACGGGGCCUUUUGUGAGUUCUGUGGCAACACUUACAUUCUGGUGACUGUUUAUUAUGUAUCCAAAUGGGUUGAGGUCGUGGCUUUACCCAACAACGAAGCCCGUAGUGUGGUGGCGUUUUUCAAGAAAAAUAUCUUCACACGGUUUGGCACUCCUCAGGCGAUCAUCAGUGAUGGGGGUUCUCAUUUCUGCAAUAAGGCAUUUGACACUUUGCUUGCAAAGUAUGGUGUCAAUCACAAGGUAUCAACCCCUUAUCAUCCUCAGGCUAGUGGACAAGUUGAUGUCUCUAAUAGGGAGAUAAAGAGCAUAUUAUCAAAAACUGUCAAUGCAAAUAGAACUGACUGGUCAAGAAAACUGGAUGAUGCUUUGUAGGCUUACAAGACUUCUUAUAAGACUCCAAUUGGUAUGUCUCCGUACCGGUUGGUAUUUGGGAAGGCGUGCCAUCUUCCAGUUGAGCUAGAACACAAGGCCAUGUGGGCGAUGAAGAGGUUAAAUCUUGAGCGGGAUGUUGUAGCAAAUCUUCGGGUAGAGCAACUCAAUGAGCUUGAUGAGUUCCGGUUUCAUGCCUAUUCCAGCUCGUCCUUGUAUAAGGACAAGAUGAAGUACAUGCAUGACAAAUGUGCACGGAGCAAGGAAUUAAAGGAGGGUGACUUGGUUCUCUUAUUCAACUCUCGGUUACGACUGUUUGCGGAAAAGCUCAAGUCAAAAUGGAGUGGCUCUUUUGAAGUGGUACAUGUGACUCCAUUUGGUGCUCUUGAUUUGAAGAAUAAAAAUGGUGAAGUUUUCAGAGUUAAUGGGCACCGAGUCAAAUACUACGUGGGAAAAUUUGAUGACAACCACGUGGUGGCAAUGAUCCAUCUCAAAUAAUUGAUGGUAACCUGCGUCGUGCGCGACGUUAAAUUAGGUGCUUCUUGGGAGGCAACCCGUGUGUUUUUCAUUUUCUUCUUUUUCAUUUUCUUCUUAGUGUAGGAUUUAUUUUCUUCUCAGCAGAAGCAUUUCGUGGGGGCAAAAUUUGGAAGCUGACGCGGACUAGAAAAUUCCAAAAUAAAACUUCUCUGAAGUUUCAUCCGCGUCCACGUGGCUUUUUCGCGGUUAGCGGACCUAUUCCGCGGCUGCUCCCAUUUUUAAGCUCUCAGUGGUAGUGUUGCACAGACAACUCUUCAGCCUAGGUAAAAGCAUGGACCGCAGUGAAAUUUCGCGGCCGCACCAGGUAAGACUUGUGGGCCCCUGUGCUAUUUAGUAUAAAUAGAAGGUCCUGAGACUAUUUACCCUUUUCGCUCCUUGAAAUCUCACAAGAAUUUUUCUACUGUUCAUCUAUCCUAAACCCGAACCCAUUUGCAUCACUAAUUAGAAGUUAAUUACCAACACCAAUUCAAACUACUGGUAUGUUCAAAUCAUAACAUUUCUUCUAUAAUUUUAUUUUUUCUUUUCUUUUAGUUUAACUUUUUCCUAUUUUCUUUUAGUUUCAAUUAGGGUUAUGUAGUUUGUAAUUAGUUGUUGCAAAAAUCCAUGAAACUACUUGUUGGGCAUGCCUAGGAGGGGUGAGUAAUGUUCAUAAUACCCGUUAAAUUACUAGAAAAUAUGAAACCUUAUGAUUCCCAUUUUUGAAUUCCGCAGCCGCGGAUGCAAUUCCGCGGUCAGCGUUCUUGUGAAAUCCUGUGCUGCAAUUGGUUUAAAUUCCGCUCUCAACGGUGGAAAGUUCGUUGUCAGCGGACCUGUUUACGCGGUCGUGCCUCAUUUUUCGCGAUCAGCAAAAUUAAAGUUCAGAGAAGUGUCAAAUUGCGUCAGCAGCCGCGUUUGUUUUUCCGCGGACAGCGGUUCAACUUCCGUGGACGCGCCCAAAAUUUCACUCUCAGUGGUCGAUCAACAUUAGAGGCUGGGUAGUCUGAUUCCCAGUCCUCCUCGGCCGUGGUCCUUUUUUCGUUAUCAGCGGUACCCAUUCCGCGGUCAUGCUUCUUUUUUCGCUGUCAGCGGAUCUGAGAUUUUAAAACACUGUCAACUUUUCAUCUCUUUUCUUUACUGCUUCUUUUAGCAUCAAUACUAAUGAUCUUUCACUGAUUGUGUAUGCAGACAAUGGUCAAAUCUAUAGGUGGAAGUGAAAAACAAAAAGGGAAGCAGAGUCCUCCCGGGGUAGGGGAUGAGGACAAAUCAAGUUACCCCUAGCAUUACGACAAUCCAUUGGGAAAAUGCAGAAGGAUAUCAAAGAUAUGGAUAGAGCCGCAUCCCAUUCCGAGGGUAGUGACUAUGUCCCUUCCUGGGAAGCCUCAGAAGGUGAUUCUGUACCUACUAAUGUCCCGGAGUUCUCAGGGAGGUUUUAGUUGAGAGACGUGCCUACACCCCCAGCUUCACGUACUUCUCAUGCUUCUUCUGAGUCAUCUGAUGGCUCAGAGGAGAGGAGUGAGCCUUCAGCAUCGGCCUCUCCACCUAGACAGGAGCCAAUUGAUGUAGAUGCUGAGAUACGGGAUGAUAGGAGAGGGGGUGAUACCCAGACUGGAGUGUUGGAGAGAACACGGAACCUGGUGGUUUGGCAAGAAAGAUUCAUAAGUGAGAAAGUCUACCACAAAUUCCGGGAAUGGUGGCCUCAGAGGUCACUCACACAUGAGAGGCAUUUCAUAGAAAAAUAUCUUCUACCCCACAACCCUAAUGUGAAGCAACAAUUUGAUGAAAAAGUGGGGUGGAAGUUCUUCACAAGCAAGCUACCGGAUGCCAAUGAGCAUUUAGUGAAAGAGUUUUAUGCCAAUGUUGCCCACAUCAAAAAGGGCACAUUUGUGACCAAGGUGCGGAACCUGGAAAACAAAUUUGAUGGGAAGACUCUGAAAAACUAUACCGAAUUCAAUGAUGAGGAUGAGUCUUUGUACUUGGAGAAGGUGGCCAUGGAUGAGUUGGUCUGCCCAUGGCUGGCAUCAAUAAUUGUUCUCCCGGAGACUACUCCAGCUUGGUUGACACUAGGUAUCCCAAUCUACCGAAACACAUUAAGCUUUGAGGCAAAGGGUUGGGAGACAUUCGUGUGCAACCGGUUAGACCCCACUACUCAUGAUAGUGACAUGCCGGUCUCCUGGGCGAUUAUAGUGGGGGCCAUCAUGGUGGGGUACCCGAUCAAUAUCGGGAAUAUCAUGUCCAGGGUGAUCACCAUAGUGGUCAAACAAAAUAAGAGUUCCUACCCAUUCCUGAACUUCCUCACUAUGUACUUGGAGGAUCAGGAAGUUGUGGGAAGGGAUUUUGAUACAAAGGUGAAACCUAAGAGGCCCUUCUCAUGGUACAGUCUUCAGGGUCCAGGCAACCCUAAGUUCAAGGGAAACGCCUCCACUUCCACUUGCCAGUCUGAAGAGCCAGGGGUGGUGGCUACUGGUUCCGAGCCUCCUACUGCCAUACCAUAGCCUCCAGUCGGACCAUCUACUUCCAUGCCUACUACGGUGCCAUCUUCAUCAGCUUGCCCUCUCACUGCACUGAGGGUUAACAAGACUCUAUCCUACAUUAACAACUGGAUGCAAGCAGCUACAUCAAAGCUAGCUAUCAUAUCCAGCACCGUGGCAGCUCAGGCAGUUCCCGCUCAGCCUCAGGUGCUAGCUUCCGUGGAGGAAUCACUGAAGGAGCUUCUGGACAACCAGAAGUUGAUUAUGGAUGCUUUGGAGGCCCAGGGAAAAGUUAUCAUAGACUUGAGCAAGCAAACAAAGAAGAUGAAGAAGACUCGAGUUUCAACGGAGCCGGUGAAGCUGCUGAGGAAGGAGGUGGACAAGAUUAGAUCUGGUGGGGACAUUCCAUUGGAGCUAUUACUAAGGGACCCAGUUCCAGCAGCUCAGGCAGGGGAGCAGGAAGCUGAUAGAGAGCCUAUGAGGAGAGGGGUGAUUCCCUAGACAGAUUACUUUGUGAUUCAGCUGGAGGACACUGAGGGAGGUGACCCAGGGACCCAGCCAUAGGACCCCACUGAUGUUCCGAACCCCAUUCAGACAGAGGAUCCAUAGGGAGUUUUAUUUAGUCUCUAACCCCUCCUUGAUCUUAUUUUUUCUUUUAGAAUUGAGGGCAAUGCUAGUUUUUAUUCGGGGGGGGGGGGAGUGGUCCUAUUUUGAUGAUUUGAACUGGAUUGUAAUUAUGAUACUGAUUUUUCUUUAUUGUUAUUUUUCACUUUUUGCUAUUUUUCAAUUUCGAUAUGUGUAUAAAGUUACUUUUCCAUGUAUAUAUUCAUUCCCCGUUAUGUAUAUUCGUCUAAAUCCCCUAUUGUACAUAUUCACUUUACUUUCUGUAUUUUACUUUAUGACUUCUUUUGCAAUUUUCCUUAAUAGCAUAGCUUCUUUUUUCAUUUAGUAGCUUCUUUUUUCAAUUUGUAGCUUACUUUUACAAGUUUUUGUGAUCAAUAAGCCUUUAGUUUUUUUUAAUGUCGUGGUUCUUUCCAAGGGUGGAGUUUGUGUGAACCGGGUGGCUCUUCCCGAUGAUGGAUGGCAUGACAACCUUCUUAAGGCUUUGAAUCCGUUUUCUUUUCGUUUUUGUGUAAAUAGUAGUAAUGAAUAAAAGUGUCUUAGGAAAAGCUUCACGUGGGCCUAACACAUUUAUCUUUGACCUUAUGGUUAGAAACAAAUUGAUGUGUAAAGGAUGGUGAUAGUUGUGACCUUUAGACUCUUGUGUUGGCUAAACAAUCAUCGAGUGGUUUUUAGGAGCCAUUUGUGUGGCUCCAUCUUAGCUAAAGUUGUUGUGGGCCCUCGACUCUGUUCUCUUUAGCAAUCCAAUAGCUUGUGUGGUGAGGUUUUGAUUUGCAAGUCCAAGUCCCGNNNNNNNNNNNNNNNNNNNNNNNNNNNNNNNNNNNNNNNNNNNNNNNNNNNNNNNNNNNNNNNNNNNNNNNNNNNNNNNNNNNNNNNNNNNNNNNNNNNNNNNNNNNNNNNNNNNNNNNNNNNNNNNNNNNNNNNNNNNNNNNNNNNNNNNNNNNNNNNNNNNNNNNNNNNNNNNNNNNNNNNNNNNNNNNNNNNNNNNNNNNNNNNNNNNNNNNNNNNNNNNNNNNNNNNNNNNNNNNNNNNNNNNNNNNNNNNNNNNNNNNNNNNNNNNNNNNNNNNNNNNNNNNNNNNNNNNNNNNNNNNNNNNNNNNNNNNNNNNNNNNNNNNNNNNNNNNNNNNNNNNNNNNNNNNNNNNNNNNNNNNNNNNNNNNNNNNNNNNNNNNNNNNNNNNNNNNNNNNNNNNNNNNNNNNNNNNNNNNNNNNNNNNNNNNNNNNNNNNNNNNNNNNNCUACCUUGAACCAAAAGCCUUCAUUACAUUUUCACAAAAGUCCUAUAUGAUUUUGAGUUGAGUGAGCUUAUAUUAGUGGUGAUUCACAUGAGGGGCAAGCUUAUGGUACUUAGAGCCGGACUUGUGACCUUCCUUUGAGAGAGAUGAGUGUAUUUUUCCAAAAUCCUUGUUCUGAGUGCUAUAAUCUAAAAUGAGAUUUGCUUAUGGAGAGCAGAGGAGAAAGAGUUUGGGUUCCACAAUGACCUAUGUAAUAGAGUGAGUUUCGUUGAUGAGUUAAGUCAACUCUUGAAGCUCUUGUGUCGCCCUAGAGCCAUGGUGCUAGAAAGGUUGUGUGUUGUUGAUAAUACAUUUGUGUUAGGGUAAUUGUUAGUCCUAAUUGAUGCUUGUUGAAGUCACCUUAGAACAGCUGAAAUUGUUCUUUCUUUUACUUUGUUGGAGUGGGAAUUACUUUGUUUACUUGAGGACAAGCAAAAGCUUUAGUUUGGGGGAGUUGAUAACUAUGGAUUCUAGCCUAUCUUAUGCUCUCUUUUGCUUAGGUUUUGGAUCAAAAUGUAUAAAAGUAUUCCCAAAAAUCUAACUUAUUGUGCUUGUUUGCAGGAUUUGAUCAAAAUGAAGCAAGAAAGUCAUAACCAGCUCAUAAAUGAGUGAAAUCUGCACAAGUUCAAAGCUGAGAGAAAUAGCGUUGAUAGCGGUGUAAGAGUGCGGCCGCGGAAGGACAACCGCUGGGGCAGCCACAAUUACGCUCCCAGCGAAAGAGAGGUUCAGAGAAGGAGUUUUGAAGGCAUCAGAGGCCGCUGACCGUGGUGAAAUAGCGUGGCAGCGGUAUUACUUGACACGACUGCGGUCCAAAUUCCGCCCUCAGCGGAAUUGAGAAUCAGAGGACUGGAGAUUGGAGCUCAACUGAAAAGCGCGGCCCGCGAACAUAUUUUGUGGCCGCGGUUGAAGAUAACGCUGAGGCGGUUGAUUUUCCGCUCCCAGCGGAAUCAAGUCCAGACCAAGCUCAGAAGAGAAGAACCGCGGUCCGGGCUUGCUUUUCCGCGGCCGCGAAACUCUAAGCGCUGAGGCAACCAGUUUUCCGCUAUCAGCGGAACCUAGGUAGGGGCAUUUUUGUCCAGUAAUUUCAGCUGUGUAUAAAUAGAUCUUUUUCAGAUUUUUAGGGUAUCUUUUGUACUGUGGAGCUAGUGAGCAGCCGUAUUUUACUACUUAGAGUAAUUUUAGAACAUCUUUAGUCUAUCUUAGAUUUUCUUCUUGUAAUUGACUUUUAUGGCUUAUAUUUCAUCAUCAUCUUUGAUUUCUACCUUUAUUAUGAGUAGCUAAACUCAUUAGCUAGGGUUAUGACCCAACCUUAGUGUGGGUAUUUAAUGGGUCUUCUAUUUUAGGGCUUAAUUGUUUAUGAGUUAGUGAUAUUUAGCUUGUUUCAUGCUUUAAUUGUAGAAUUGGUGGUUGCAAACACUAAUUCAUGCCUUUAUGACUUAGACUCUUCUUGAGAAAGAGGGACUAAGUCUAGGAAAUUUAGGCUAACAAAGAAUUGGGGUGUACUCAGAGAUUGAUAGCCCCAACUAAAGGAUUAAACCUAGAGAUAGUAAUAUACGACUUGAGCCAAUUUUACUUUUAUUGUUUGAACACCCAAUUGGGCUUGAGAAAGCCAAUUAGGGCAAAGUCACUCAANNNNNNNNNNNNNNNNNNNNNNNNNNNNNNNNNNNNNNNNNNNNNNNNNNNNNNNNNNNNNNNNNNNNNNNNNNNNNNNNNNNNNNNNNNNNNNNNNNNNNNNNNNNNNNNNNNNNNNNNNNNNNNNNNNNNNNNNNNNNNNNNNNNNNNNNNNNNNNNNNNNNNNNNNNNNNNNNNNNNNNNNNNNNNNNNNNNNNNNNNNNNNNNNNNNNNNNNNNNNNNNNNNNNNNNNNNNNNNNNNNNNNNNNNNNNNNNNNNNNNNNNNNNNNNNNNUAGAUACUCGCCUAGGUGUACGUCACUUCCCUAGUGCCUUUUAUCACUUGAGAAAACCCUUACAAAAAAAUAUUGUACUUAGAUUCUUUUCAGCAUU
This 31601-nucleotide long non-coding RNA is filed under the name Nicotiana tabacum (common tobacco). RNAcentral's name for it is "long non-coding RNA (NTAB_LNC003809)". The record is from RNAcentral. Lineage: Eukaryota; Viridiplantae; Streptophyta; Magnoliopsida; Solanales; Solanaceae.